UACGUAGGGUGCAAGCGUUAAUCGGAAUUACUGGGCGUAAAGCGUGCGCAGGCGGUUUUGUAAGUCUGUCGUGAAAGCCCCGGGCUCAACCUGGGAAUUGCGAUGGAGACUGCAAGGCUAGAGUGUGUCAGAGGGGGGUAGAAUUCCACGUGUAGCAGUGAAAUGCGUAGAUAUGUGGAGGAACACCGAUGGCGAAGGCAGCACCCUGGGAUAACACUGACGCUCAUGCACGAAAGCGUGGGGAGCAAACAGG
This 253-nucleotide ribosomal RNA is filed under the name uncultured bacterium. RNAcentral describes it as "partial 16S ribosomal RNA". It matches the Rfam family "Bacterial small subunit ribosomal RNA", at positions 524 to 776 of the family's 1533-position model. The record is from RNAcentral.